ACCUGCUCCUCUGGAUCUGCUCCUCUGGAUCUGCGAAAAAGGGAGAGAUAUUUACAACACAUGGACACUUACCGAGGCUGAAUCAAAGGCCAGCAGAGAAGGCCUUGCUGGCCCUGACGGCCCACCACUGCCCGGAUGGAUACCAACUACCGGGAGUCCAUCAGCCCAGUUGAACGCCUGGCGAUUUGUCUCCGGCCACAUGUGUUCUCCACAACUACCUGCGGAGGUCAUUCCAGGAGCCGCUCCGGAUGGAGAUGGGCACGCCAAAUGGUCACCUUCCUGAUGUCACCAGGGCAGGUGCCAACAACGCCCCCAGACAGGCACUCCAGGUGAGGGAGAAGCUGACCACCUACUUCUCAUCGCCAGCAGGUGAAGUCCCAUGGCAGUAUGCCGUGGAGUGAAACGGCUCUUUUAAGAGCCCCAUAACACAAAGGUUAUUUUAAGAACCAUCCACCGUUGUCCAUACAAUUGCAUUUUUUCCCCAGAUUA
Molecule: long non-coding RNA, 489 nt
Organism: Salvelinus sp. IW2-2015
Lineage: Eukaryota; Metazoa; Chordata; Actinopteri; Salmoniformes; Salmonidae
Exons: 3
Source: RefSeq, a predicted model, not a curated record